Molecule: ribosomal RNA, 427 nt
Filed under: uncultured bacterium
Lineage: Bacteria
Description: bacterial SSU rRNA
Rfam family: Bacterial small subunit ribosomal RNA
Source: RNAcentral
UGGGGAAUUUUGUGCAAUGGGCGAAAGCCUGACACAGCGACACCGCGUGAGCGAAGAAGCCCUUUGGGGUGUAAAGCUCUGUCAGCUGGAACGAAAAAAAUGACGGUACCAGCAGAGGAAGCAUCGGCUAACUACGUGCCAGCAGCCGCGGUAAGACGUAGGAUGCAAGCGUUGUCCGGAUUUAUUGGGCGUAAAGAGUUCGUAGGCGGUUCGUUAAGUCUGAUGUUAAAGAUCGGGGCUCAACCCUGGGAGUGCAUUGGAUACUGGCGGACUGGAGUGUGGUAGAGGCUAGUGGAAUUCCCAGUGUAGCGGUGAAAUGCGUAGAUAUUGGGAAGAACACCGGUGGCGUAGGCGACUAGCUGGGCCAUAACUGACGCUGAGGAACGAAAGCCAGGGGAGCGAAUGGGAUUAGAUACCCCCGUAGUCC